CAGUGUACAUCAUUAUUUAUGACUUGAAGAUAUCUGGACACUAGCAACCAUGCAUGCCUAUGCCACUGCCUCCUACACGUGAUGUGAUCCUUCGUAUAACUCACGGCCAAAUGCACAUGAGGUCGUCUGCUCAAAUGGAAACGACUACAAUGGACAGGCUUGGCAGCAACGAGAUGCAGCAUGACUUCCUCCAGUGACGUGAUUCUGUCGUAUGUAGCCCUCCCCCCACCACGCCGCACCUCUCCACCUCAUUUUCUGGUGGGGGCUCUCCAUCUUGUCCUCAUUUUAUUGGUGGGUUCUUUCGAUUGUAGGACAAUUGGUCCUCAAAAGUGCAUACCUAGGACAGUCGGUCCUCUUGCACCAGCAUACAUUUUCAUGAAAAUUCAUAUGAAGUUAGAUUAUUCCCAGUUUUAACCUGCUAUCUUCUGAUGUGUUCCAGAGUUGGGUGCAUUCAUUUGUGCAGCAGGACCUGGCUGUCUUUUUUUGUUUGGUUCAACUGCUGCCUCAUUCUUAUCAGAAGCUGAGCACACACCAUGUGAUUUUUUAUUUAUUUAUUUUUUUUAAUGGGGGCACAUUAUUUCCCACCAAAAACGUACCAUGUGAUAUAUUUUUCUUCACAGUAACCCCUGCCUUUUUCCUCCUUUUAAACAAUGCUUCCUCCACUAAGUGCGAAAACAAGAUGGCCACGAGUUACUGCUUUGAAAUGUACCGUAAUUCCCGGCCUACAGAGCGCAACGGAUUAUAAGACUCACCCAGUACAUUUGUCAGGGAAAUACCAUUUGGUACGUACAUAAGACGGACGUGUGUAAAAGCUGCAAGUGCCCACAUUGAAAGACGAGAUAUUUACGAAGAAAUACAGUACACAGAAAGCAUUUUCAAUGUUUUAAUACCUUAUCUUAGCUUAACAUAGCAACAACACGG
Molecule: long non-coding RNA, 921 nt
Organism: Syngnathoides biaculeatus (alligator pipefish)
Lineage: Eukaryota; Metazoa; Chordata; Actinopteri; Syngnathiformes; Syngnathidae
Exons: 3
Source: RefSeq, a predicted model, not a curated record